This 601-nucleotide long non-coding RNA is filed under the name Mus spretus (western wild mouse). Its description in RNAcentral is "lncRNA (ENSMSPG00010046081.1)". The record is from RNAcentral. Lineage: Eukaryota; Metazoa; Chordata; Mammalia; Rodentia; Muridae.
GGCUGGCUCGAGCGAUCUGCAGGAAGCCUUACCAGUCUGCAGCUGCCCAGCCAGGGACCAGAGAAAUGCAACAGGAACCCAUGCUUGUCUGCAAUAAUUUACAGGACCCCGUUCGAGUUCCCUGGUUGAGAUAAAUACAUCGACCCACGCAGGUAGAAUUUUCUUCUCAAGAGUCUCUUUCUCCUCCUGACAUCGGGGGGCCAUGGGAGAAGUUUCCCACUUCCAGCUCUGGGGAAAGUGCGGAAGGUGGCAGGGAGCUGUGGAAAGCGGAGGUGGCUUGGGAGAGGACUGGGCUGUGGAGUCCCGGGCGGCUCCCGCGACUUCUCUGGAAUGCUUCCGCGCUGCAGGCCCUGGAUGAGGCGUGGAUAUGCAGGGUGUAGAGCGGCAGACCCGGAUGGACCGGCUGGUGCGGUGCUCGGGUCCGAGUGGAGCGGGCGUUCUCGCUUCGCGGCUUGCAACCGGCCUUCACAGUUCAGGCUGCAGCGGCAGAAAUAUUGAGACUGACGGCAAGAAAGUAUCCCAACGCUUUCCCGCUCUUCUGGAGCUGCCUCCACCCCAUCCCCGCCGCCGCAUCCUUCUUUUUGAAUAAAUUUUCCGAGAA